RNAcentral lists this ribosomal RNA (396 nucleotides) under uncultured bacterium. RNAcentral's name for it is "bacterial SSU rRNA". It matches the Rfam family "Bacterial small subunit ribosomal RNA", at positions 32 to 405 of the family's 1533-position model. The record is from RNAcentral.
AAUCAACGCUGGCGGCGUGCCUCAGACAUGCAAGUCGAACGCGAAAGUCUCCUUCGGGGGACAAGUAGAGUGGCGCACGGGUGAGUAACACGUAGGUAAUCUACCGUUCGGAUGGGGAAUAACAACCGGAAACGGUUGCUAAUACCGCAUAAUGCAGGCGGCACCUAAUGGUGACAGUUGUUAAAGCGGGGGAUCGUAAGACCUCGCGUCUGAAGAGGAGCCUGCGGCGGAUUAGCAGUUGGUAAGGUAAUGGCUUACCAAGGCUACGAUCCGUAACCGGCCUGAGAGGGCGGUCGGUCACACUGACACUGGACAUACGGGUCAGACUCCUACGGGAGGCAGCAGUCGGGAAUUUUGGGCAAUGGGCGAAAGCCUGACCCAGCAACGCCGCGUGAA